Eriocheir sinensis (Chinese mitten crab) is the source of this 411-nucleotide long non-coding RNA. RefSeq lists it as uncharacterized. The transcript is spliced from 3 exons. The record is from RefSeq and is a predicted model, not a curated record. NCBI's taxonomy places the organism in Eukaryota, Metazoa, Arthropoda, Malacostraca, Decapoda, Varunidae.
GUGCAUUAUAGAAAAUGCAGCAGAGACAUCUCAAGAAGCCUGGAGGGUGGGGCAGCACACACCAACCAGGCCUCGGUGCAUCAGUGUAGAAGCUGCAGCACAGACAUGGACAGAGGAGUGGCUGAGCUGCCAGGCUGGAGCUGUAAAGGGUCAUCACCUCCAGCAGCGCCUGAAGCUCCCUGGGCAGCCACGACGUAUCCAGCUUCAGGUUCUCCACUCGGAUCAGGCACAGGGUCUUCAAGCUGGGCUCUGGGAAACAAAUAGAAGGGACCAUUAAGAAACAUGAUCCCUGUUGCUAAUGGGUUAAACAGCAAGGGACGACACUCGAGGAAAAAAAAAUAUAGAUGACAAGCCAGAAGAGAGGUCAAUGGAGGAGACUCACCGAAGUCCAGGACAUGGAGGUCAUUGUGG